RNAcentral lists this ribosomal RNA (492 nucleotides) under uncultured bacterium. Its description in RNAcentral is "partial 16S ribosomal RNA". It matches the Rfam family "Bacterial small subunit ribosomal RNA", at positions 29 to 507 of the family's 1533-position model. The record is from RNAcentral.
AGUGAACGCUGGCGGUAGGCCUAACACAUGCAAGUCGAACGGCAGCACAGUAAGAGCUUGCUCUUACGGGUGGCGAGUGGCGGACGGGUGAGGAAUACAUCGGAAUCUACUUUUUCGUGGGGGAUAACGUAGGGAAACUUACGCUAAUACCGCAUACGACCUACGGGUGAAAGCAGGGGAUCUUCGGACCUUGCGCGAUUGAAUGAGCCGAUGUCGGAUUAGCUAGUUGGCGGGGUAAAGGCCCACCAAGGCGACGAUCCGUAGCUGGUCUGCGAGGAUGAUCAGCCACACUGGAACUGAGACACGGUCCAGACUCCUACGGGAGGCAGCAGUGGGGAAUAUUGGACAAUGGGCGCAAGCCUGAUCCAGCCAUACCGCGUGGGUGAAGAAGGCCUUCGGGUUGUAAAGCCCUUUUGUUGGGAAAGAAAAGCAGCAGGUUAAUACCCCGCUGUUCUGACGGUACCCAAAGAAUAAGCACCGGCUAACUUCGUG